This 293-nucleotide long non-coding RNA is filed under the name Phoenix dactylifera (date palm). RNAcentral describes it as "long non-coding RNA (PDAC_LNC020431)". The record is from RNAcentral. Lineage: Eukaryota; Viridiplantae; Streptophyta; Magnoliopsida; Arecales; Arecaceae.
UGAUCAGCUCCCUUCUUUAUUGUUACUUCACAUCAUCUGUUCCAAUUUGCAUAUUACAAUAUCAAAUAAGAUGAUCCUUAUGUUAAAACAAUGGAAUCUGCCACAUUGAUGAUGAAGUGCCUGCAGAACUUGUUGAGCAACUGGACAUUGAGUAGGACAUAAUCCUGUGAUUCUAUUUGUUGGCAUCUUUGAUUGUGUUUAAAAACAAACUCCCGAUUAUGUGAUCUUGGAUCCCGUUUAAUUAAACCCUGAUCCCAUUUAAUUAGAACCCACAUCUUGACAAGUGUCCCUUG